This 379-nucleotide unclassified non-coding RNA is filed under the name uncultured Holophagae bacterium. RNAcentral describes it as "contains 16S-23S intergenic spacer region". The record is from RNAcentral. Lineage: Bacteria; Pseudomonadati; Acidobacteriota; Holophagae.
UCUCGGCUUAUCACCGGCAGUCCCCCUAGAGUGCCCAACUGAAUGAUGGCAACUAAGGGCGAGGGUUGCGCUCGUUGCGGGACUUAACCCAACAUCUCACGACACGAGCUGACGACAGCCAUGCAGCACCUCUACACGGACCUCCGAAGAGGGGGACUCAUCUCUGAGCCUUGCCCGUGCAGUUCAAACCCAGGUAAGGUUCUGCGCGUUGCUUCGAAUUAAACCACAUGCUCCACCGCAUGUGCGGGCCCCCGUCAAUUCCUUUGAGUUUCAGUCUUGCGACCGUACUCCCCAGGCGGAGUGCUUAAUGUGUUGACUUCGGCACAGCAGGGGUCGAUACCCGCUACACCAAGCACUCAUCGUUUACGGCGUGGACUAC